This 56-nucleotide transfer RNA is filed under the name Baylisascaris ailuri (red panda roundworm). RNAcentral describes it as "tRNA-Arg". The record is from RNAcentral. Lineage: Eukaryota; Metazoa; Nematoda; Chromadorea; Rhabditida; Ascarididae.
GAACGUUAAAUAGAUUAGUGCUAUGCUCGGUUACGGUCCGGGAAGAGAUUCGUUUU